UUUACUGACUGAGCAAUCUUUUUAUAUAUUUAUCUAGUUUUGCGCCAGAUAUUUUAGAUCUACACCAGAUGUUGUAGUUCCAGAUGUUUUAGUUCUACGCCAGAUGUUUUAGUUCUACGCCAGAUGUUUUAGUUCCAGAUGUUUUAGAUCUACACCAGGUGUUGUAGUUCUACCCCAGAUGUUGUAGUUCUACCCCAGAUGUUGUAGUUCUACGCCAGAUGUUGUAGUUCCAGAUGUUUUAGUUCUACGCCAGAUGUUGUAGUUCUACGCCAGAUGUUGUAGUUCUGCGCCAGAUGUUUUAGGUUUACGCCAGAUGUUUUAGUUCCAGAUGUUUUAGUUCCAGAUGUUUUAGUUCUGCGCCGGAUGUUGUAGUUCUGCGCCCGAUGUUGUAGUUCUGCGCCAGAUGUUUUAGGUUUACGCCAGAUGUUUUAGUUCCAGAUGUUUUAGUCAUACGCCAGAUGUUGUAGUUCUACGCCAGAUGUUUUAGUUCCAAAUGUUUUAGUUCUACGCCAGAUGUUUUAGUUCCAGAUGUUUUAGUUCUACGCCGGAUGUUUUAGUUCCAGAUGUUUUAGUUCUACGCCAGAUGUUUUAGUUCCAGAUGUUUUAGUUCUACGCCAGAUGUUUUAGUUAUAAGCCAGGUGUUGUAGUUCUACGCCAGGUGUUUUAGUUCUACGCCAGAUGUUUUAGUUCCAGAUGUUGUAGUUCUACGCCAGGUGUUGUAGUUCUACGCCAGGUGUUUUAGUUCUACGCCAGGUGUUGUAGUUCUAUGCCAGGUGUUGUAGUUCUACGCCAGGUGUUGUAGUUCUACGCCAGAUGUUUUAGUUCCAGAUGUUGUAGUUCUACGCCAGGUGUUUUAGUUCUACGCCAAGUGUUGUAGUUCUAUGCCAGGUGUUGUAGUUCUAUGCCAGGUGUUGUAGUUCUACGCCAGGUGUUUUAGUUCCAGAUGUUGUAGUUCUACGCCAGGUGUUGUAGUUCUACGCCAGAUGUUUUAGUUCCAGAUGUUGUAGUUCUACGCCAGGUGUUUUAGUUCUACGCCAAGUGUUGUAGUUCUAUGCCAGGUGUUGUAGUUCUAUGCCAGGUGUUGUAGUUCUACGCCAGGUGUUUUAGUUCCAGAUGUUGUAGUUCUACGCCAGGUGUUGUAGUUCUACGCCAGGUGUUGUAGUUCUACGCCAGGUGUUUUUGGUCUACGCCAGAUGUUUUAGUUCCAGAUGUUUUAGUCAUACGCCAGGUGUUUUAGUUCUACGCCAGGUGUUGUAGUUCUACGCCAGGUGUUGUAGUUCUACGUCAGGUGUUUUAGUUCUACGCCAGAUGUUUUAGUUCCAGAUGUUUUAGUCAUAUGCCAGGUGUUGUAGUUCUACGCCAGGUGUUGUAGUUCUAUGCCAGAUGUUUUAGUUCUACGCCAGAUGUUUUAGUUCCAGAUGUUUUAGUCAUACGCCAGGUGUUUUAGUUCUACGCCAGAUGUUUUAGUUCCAGAUGUUUUAGUCAUACGCCAGGUGUUGUAGUUCUACGCCAGGUGUUGUAGUUCUACGUCAGGUGUUUUAGUUCUACGCCAGGUGUUGUAGUUCCAGAUGUUUUAGUCAUACGCCAGGUGUUGUAGUUCUACGCCAGGUGUUGUAGUUCAACGCUAGAUGUUUUAGUUCUACGCCAGAUGUUUUAGUUCCAGAUGUUUUAGUCAUACGCCAGGUGUUGUAGUUCUACGCCAGGUGUUUUAGUUCUAUGCCAGGUGUUGUAGUUCCAGAUGUUUUAGUCAUACGCCAGGUGUUUUAGUUCUACGCCAGGUGUUGUAGUUCUACGCCAGGUGUUGUAGUUCUACGCCAGGUGUUGUAGUUCUACGCCAGGUGUUUUAGUUCUACGCCAGGUGUUGUAGUUCUACGCCAGGUGUUGUAGUUCUACGCUAGAUGUUUUAGUUCUACGCCAGAUGUUUUAGUUCCAGAUGUUUUAGUCAUACGCCAGGUGUUGUAGUUCUACGCCAGGUGUUUUAGUUCUAUGCCAGGUGUUGUAGUUCCAGAUGUUUUAGUCAUACGCCAGGUGUUUUAGUUCUACGCCAGGUGUUGUAGUUCUACGCCAGGUGUUGUAGUUCUACGCCAGGUGUUUUAGUUCCAGAUGUUUUAGUCAUACGCCAGGUGUUGUAGUUCUACGCCAGGUGUUUUAGUUCUACGCCAGAUGUUUUAGUUUCAGAUGUUUUAGUCAUACGCCAGGUGUUGUAGUUCUACGCCAGGUGUUGUAGUUCUACGCCAGAUGUUUUAGUUCCAGAUGUUUUAGUCAUA
This is a long non-coding RNA of Cyclopterus lumpus (lumpfish), 2267 nucleotides long. RefSeq lists it as uncharacterized. Lineage: Eukaryota; Metazoa; Chordata; Actinopteri; Perciformes; Cyclopteridae. The transcript has 3 exons. The record is from RefSeq and is a predicted model, not a curated record.